CCUACGGGAGGCAGCAGUGGGGAAUAUUGGACAAUGGGCGCAAGCCUGAUCCAGCCAUGCCGCGUGAGUGAUGAAGGCCCUAGGGUUGUAAAGCUCUUUCACCGGUGAAGCGGUAACCGGAGAAGAAGCCCCGGCUAACUUCGUGCCAGCAGCCGCGGUAAUACGAAGGGGGCUAGCGUUGUUCGGAAUUACUGGGCGUAAAGCGCACGUAGGCGGAUAUUUAAGUCAGGGGUGAAAUCCCAGAGCUCAACUCUGGAACUGCCUUUGAUACUGGGUAUCUCGAGUAUGGAAGAGGUGAGUGGAAUUCCGAGUGUAGAGGUGAAAUUCGUAGAUAUUCGGAGGAACACCAGUGGCGAAGGCGGCUCACUGGUCCAUACUGACGCUGAGGUGCGAAAGCGUGGGGAGCAAACAGGAUUAGAUACCCUUGUAGUC
RNAcentral lists this ribosomal RNA (432 nucleotides) under uncultured bacterium. RNAcentral's name for it is "partial 16S ribosomal RNA". It matches the Rfam family "Bacterial small subunit ribosomal RNA", at positions 338 to 795 of the family's 1533-position model. The record is from RNAcentral.